AGGUCCCAUUCAUUUCUUCUUUUGCAUUCCCAACCGACUUCUUCUGCAUUCUUCCUGAGCGAACGACGUCACUUCUUUCAUCAUUUCUUCUCGCUCUGUUGGGCUUCGAACGUGUUGAAUAGUUUCUACGUGGUCAGAUGGUAUGAGCUGCAAGGGGAGAGAAAGGGUUGAAGAUAUUGAUCUGGAGAAAUUUUUAUUUUCUUGAGAUAAAAAUUGCAGUGAUAAUAACACUUUGCUGUUGAGGAAGAAGAGGAAGAACAUGUCCUCAUCAAAUUCUCCGUGCGCAGCAUGCAAAUGCCUCCGGCGGAAAUGCACUCAAGAGUGUGUAUUUGCACCGUAUUUUCCGCCAGACCAACCCCAGAAAUUUAUCAAUGUCCACAGGGUCUUUGGAGCAAGCAAUGUUGCCAAGCUUCUCAAUGAACUUGGCACUGGUCAGCGAGAAGACGCAGUUAAUUCGCUUGCCUAUGAGGCUGAGUACAGACUCCGAGAUCCCGUCUAUGGCUGUGUAGGCCUAAUCUCCAUCCUCCAACAGAAGCUGAAGCAAGUCCAACAUGAUUUAAACAAUGCAAAGAAGGAGUUAGCUACCUAUAUCGGGCCCUCCGCCAUGUUGCCAAUUUUUCAGCACCCGGGUUUCAUGCAACAGCAUCCUAAUAACCCCUCGGCAUCUACAGUGAUGCCUUAUGCUAUGCAGCCGAUGAUGGGGUUGCCAACAGGUGUGGCGGCUCCGCAUGGUGGUCCAUUGAUUAUCCGCGAUGCUCAGCAGCAGCAGCAAAUGUACGAGGCACAGCAAUAUGCAGCUGCAGUUGCAGCCAGGGAUCAGGAGAUGUUUAGAGCAUACGAGCAGCAGCAACAGCAGCAGCCACCACCGCAGGAGCUUAUGAGGUUUAACAGUGGUUUUGAAGGGGCUGGACCGGCAGCUGCUACGGCCUUCAAUACCAUGAGUUGUGGUGCUGCAAUGUCCCCAUCCUUGGCUUUGGGCUCAUAUGAAGCCGUCCCUUAUCAUCAGAUUUCUCAACAGCAGCAGCAGCUGCCUCCGGAGCAUUCCCAUUCCCACCAUCACCACCAUAAUCAGUUUCAGCUUGAGUCUCAACUGAUGCUUCAACAGCAGCAGCCGCAACAGCUGCCACUGCAGUCUCAUCACCAGCCUCAAGCUGCCCAGCAGCAACAUCCACAGAGAGCCAAGAGUGAGGAGGGCAGGAGCGUUGGUCCUUCCUGUUGAUAUGCUUGUUCCCAAAAGUCUCAAAAUGCUUCCUAAUUCUAGCUUAGUUCUUGCACCAAAUUUUCUUCCUGGUCAUUUUUGCUGUAAACAAUCGCACAAAGGAGAGAGAGAGAGAGAGAGUGCAUGCGUGUGGAGAGUGGAAGAGAAUCACAUAAGAGCGAAAGAUUGUCGUAACUAACUUCUUCAUUUUUUUUUUUUUUUUGGUUUGGUUUGGUUGUUGCUGUGCUUCCUGUAAAAUUUCACUUUUUGGGAAGCUUCGAGAAGAUAUUAUUGGAGGCACAUAUUAAAAAAAUGUAGUAGGAGUUUCUUUCUUGUGAAUUUUACAGAGAGUAAGUAGAGUAGUAUCCUCUUUUUGCCUGCCAGUCAGAGGUGAAGUUUUUCGUUUUUGGGAACCGUAUAGAGAAUAAAUGAAAAGCUUCUUUGCCUGUAGCGUAGCUGGUCUGAGAUCAAUAAUUACUUCAUUUUUUUUUUUUUGAGGCAAUUUUUUGUUCAUCCCGAGAAGGUUGUCGAGACGGGACUGGUCUUCUUCAUGUGAUGGAAAUGGAGUCUGCGACGCAACCAUUUUCUAUUUUCCUCUUUUCUUGUUGCCCAAAGGUACCGGUGGCUUUGUUUGUUGAAGCAUCUGUUUGU
Non-coding RNA from Coffea arabica (coffee), 1849 nucleotides. The record is from RefSeq and is a predicted model, not a curated record. Lineage: Eukaryota; Viridiplantae; Streptophyta; Magnoliopsida; Gentianales; Rubiaceae.